AAAUAUUUUUAUUUUACAGUUUAUAAUUGUUAUUAAGUAAAGCUAUACCACGAAUCCAUGAGAUAAUUGUUAAAAAACUGAAGUUUUAAUCCCUAUUAAAACAGCAUAUUAAUAAUAUUUUAAAAUUUUAUAAAUAUUGAUUCAAAUACAUCCACCAUAUAACCCAAUUCCAAAAUAAAACCCGUUCUGUAAUUUGUUUACCCGUCCCGUGAUUUUUUUGUUUAAAGUAGUAAUUUUUAAAUUUUAAGAAUUAUUUUUUAUAUAUAAAAGUUUUGCAAAUUGUAUCAUUCUCUAAUACAUUUAUAUUUUAUUGUUUAAUUUUAUAUAUAGUAACAUUAUACAUACCACAUAACAUUUUUGGUUUUAUAUAAUCUUUUCUAAAUUAGGAUGAUUUGAUAUGUUUAAUAUUAGUGGUCUUAAAAAAUAAUAAAUUAAAGAUUUAACCCGUAUUGAAACGGUGGAUUAAUUAUAUUUUAUUUUUUAUUAAUGUUGAUUCAAAAACCCGUCCCUCCAAAUUCGUCUUGCCAAAAACCAAUUUAUUUUAUUAAUAUUAAUUUUAUUAAUGAUAUGACUUUGAAUUAUAUUCUAAACAUUUUUGCUAAUAACAUAGGUGUGCACCAUAUUUAUUUAAUAGGGGAAUGUACCAUAUGAUCCGAAUGCACUUUUAUCCAAAUCCACCAAAAAAGUCUUGCAAAAAUACUAUAAAGAUAAAAAACGAUAGUCGGUUUUGAUAGGUAUAAGAUUAACAAAUAUAUUAGUUAGCUUAAAUUAGUUAAAGAAUACAAAUUGAAAAGGUAUAUUACAUUAUUCGAAUAUAGUAUCAAAACUUAUAUAACACAGAGAUUUGAUAAUGUUUUAAUUGUUGAAUAAUUUUUUUUGUGCUAAUUUUAUAUGUGAUUAAGAUUUAAUUGAUUUUGUAUAUAAAAUAUUAAAUUGACUUAUUUGUUUAUAAUUUGGUAACAGAUAGAUAUUUGAAUAUUCAGUAUAUUUUGCUUCAGUUUAGGAAAUCUUUGAUGACCCGUCUUUAGAUCCAAUAAGCCCUAUAAUCUAGAUAUUAACCUGCAGUAUACCGCAGGUAGGCUUGUAUUUUAGUUAAACUAAAAACUUUUAUUGUAAAGAUGAUUUAAAAAUAUAUGAUAUUAUUUUAUUUGAUUUUAAAUGUAUAGUUAAUUGUGAGUUGUAUAUGUUUUGUUGAUAUUAUCUAUAUUGUUUAGUGUUUAAGAUUAUACACUUGUACUUUGAUUGUUAAUUUAAGAGUUUCGCAUAUAGUAUUCCAUCUUGUAUUAAUAUCGAUCUAAACCCGUCAAUUCUAGGAUUUUCCAGCUUGUAUUAAAAAUUGAAUCACAUCUAAUAUGUUAUUAAUUAUUGUAGUAUAUAAGAUUAUAAAUUUUCAAUAUAAUAUGUAUGAAAUUGAAUAUAAAUAUUUCAAAUUAUGACCCGUUACUCAGUAGAAAGUUUUCUUAAAUCUAUUUUUCACUCGUUAUAAUAUUUUUUCAUGUAUUGAACAGUUUAUAUUCGUUUUUAAGAAUUCAAAUUGUGGCAUAUGCGAAAUAACUCUAAUUAUUUCUUUUAUAAUGAUGAUAUUAUUUUCCGCAAAAAUAGAAUCAUAUAAAGAUGAGAAGUGAACUAUAAUAAUUAAUAAAAAA
This 1646-nucleotide small RNA is filed under the name Arabidopsis thaliana (thale cress). Its description in RNAcentral is "ATSL210520". The record is from RNAcentral. Lineage: Eukaryota; Viridiplantae; Streptophyta; Magnoliopsida; Brassicales; Brassicaceae.